Molecule: unclassified non-coding RNA, 331 nt
Filed under: soil metagenome
Description: partial contains 5.8S ribosomal RNA, internal transcribed spacer 2, and large subunit ribosomal RNA
Rfam family: 5.8S ribosomal RNA (bases 1-120)
Source: RNAcentral
GAUGAAGAACGUAGCGAAAUGUGAUAAGUAAUGUGAAUUGCAGAAUUCAGUGAAUCAUCGAAUCUUUGAACGCACAUUGCGCCCCCUGGUAUUCCGGGGGGCAUGCCUGUUCGAGCGUCAUUUCACCACUCAAGCCUCGCUUGGUAUUGGGCAACGCGGUCCGCCGCGUGCCUCAAAUCGUCCGGCUGGGUCUUCUGUCCCCUAAGCGUUGUGGAAACUAUUCGCUAAAGGGUGUUCGGGAGGCUACGCCGUAAAACAACCCCAUUUCUAAGGUUGACCUCGGAUCAGGUAGGGAUACCCGCUGAACUUAAGCAUAUCAAUAAGCGGAGGA